AGAGGGUCGAGAACUGAGAGGCGGGUUUCGGGCGCAGCAAGUUCCCGCUGACGCUUCCCGGGAUGCCGGGAUCCAGGACUUACUUCAGAAGAGUAGUUCCCGAAUGAAUAUCUGAAAAGACCAGCUAGGGUAGUGCUUUCUUGUCCUCGAACCAAAACUUUAAUAAGGGUUCCAAAACAAAUGACGUGACGGAAUUAUGUGGAACCUCUAACAAAACAGAAUGGCAAUAAACGAAAUGCAACGAAAGGAUACAGCCUUUCUGUUCUGAUUUUUUAAAAUAAGCCAUCAGCAGCCCAGGGCAUCGGCACCUUAAAUUCACCGAGUCAGAUGUUUCUUUAAUACUGGAGGCUAAUCAUGCCUCAAUCAAAAGAACAAGGUCUUUUAAAUUUACAACUUUCCCAAAGUCAUUUUGGAGUGAAUACUAAUUACGAAUGUCCUUGAAAUACAUGUGAUUUUGAAAGACCAUGGAGAGGAUUUUCUCGUUGGCAACAAAUUCAGUUGGGCAGACAUACAACUGUUAGAAGUGAUUUUAAUGGUGGAAGAACUCGAUGCUUCUGUUCUGACUUCCCUUUGCUAAAGGUAGCAUAUUCACAUCCACACAAAGCCCAGCCACACAAAGUGAAUAGAAACGAAGACUAAAAUGAAAUGUAUCUCCAGGUCAAUCUUAAAAGAAGACUUGUUAAAAAAUCAUUAUUUCUUGCAUCUUGGCAAUUUUCUCCUGCUCCGUACUACAGGAUCAUUAGGAAAUAAACCCUUAUGAUGGGA
This is a non-coding RNA of Callorhinus ursinus (northern fur seal), 765 nucleotides long. The record is from RefSeq and is a predicted model, not a curated record. Lineage: Eukaryota; Metazoa; Chordata; Mammalia; Carnivora; Otariidae.